GAGAUCCUGUGUGCUGGAAAUCCUAAUGUGUGGGGUCAUGGGGUUAUUGAAAUACUAGCUCAGGAUACUCUGAGUCAGCUAAGGCCAAUAGUAUUGGAAUGAAUAUGCUCUGUACUUGGAGCCUACCUUAAUUCACCCCCUGUGGAAAGUGACAAAGUCUAUAGCACAGACAGAGGAUCUGUGUAUCAAAACUUUUUCCCCGAGGAGUUCAUACACAACCCACCCUUUGAGGUAACUGCAGACCCCUGGGGGCCAGCCG
Long non-coding RNA from Gymnodraco acuticeps, 259 nucleotides. RefSeq lists it as uncharacterized. The record is from RefSeq and is a predicted model, not a curated record. The transcript has 3 exons. Lineage: Eukaryota; Metazoa; Chordata; Actinopteri; Perciformes; Bathydraconidae.